AAGAGGCAGAGGCCAAGUCGGAAGCUGCUAACUUCCUUCUAAGAGGUUAUACUCCUUUUAUGCCUCUAU
This 69-nucleotide transfer RNA is filed under the name Baetis sp. PC-2010. RNAcentral's name for it is "tRNA-Ser". The record is from RNAcentral. Lineage: Eukaryota; Metazoa; Arthropoda; Insecta; Ephemeroptera; Baetidae.